AACAUCGCGCACCUGCGGGAACCUGCGGAAGGAUCAUUAGCGAGUCUAACUCUCUAAAACCAUUGUGAACGAACUGCCACGUUGCUUCGGCGGGGUCAAACCCGCCGGCAGAACGCAAACUAUGCUAUAUUUGUUUCUCUGAGUACACUUUUAAUAAGUAAAAACUUUCAACAACGGAUCU
RNAcentral lists this unclassified non-coding RNA (181 nucleotides) under soil metagenome. RNAcentral's name for it is "partial contains 5.8S ribosomal RNA, internal transcribed spacer 2, and large subunit ribosomal RNA". The record is from RNAcentral.